RNAcentral lists this ribosomal RNA (253 nucleotides) under uncultured bacterium. RNAcentral describes it as "partial 16S ribosomal RNA". It matches the Rfam family "Bacterial small subunit ribosomal RNA", at positions 524 to 776 of the family's 1533-position model. The record is from RNAcentral.
UACGAAGGGGGCUAGCGUUGUUCGGAAUCACUGGGCGUAAAGCGUGCGCAGGCGGUUCGUUGUGUCGGCGGUGAAAGCCCCGGGCUCAACCUGGGAAUGGCCGUUGAAACUGGCGAACUGGAGUGUGGCAGAGGGGGGUGGAAUUCCGCGUGUAGCAGUGAAAUGCGUAGAGAUGCGGAGGAACACCGAUGGCGAAGGCAGCCCCCUGGGCUGACACUGACGCUCAGGCACGAAAGCGUGGGGAGCAAACAGG